RNAcentral lists this microRNA precursor (74 nucleotides) under Myotis lucifugus (little brown bat). RNAcentral's name for it is "mir-9193 microRNA precursor family". It matches the Rfam family "mir-9193 microRNA precursor family". Lineage: Eukaryota; Metazoa; Chordata; Mammalia; Chiroptera; Vespertilionidae. The record is from Rfam by way of RNAcentral.
CGGGGGCUGGGGGGGUCCCUCAGCCCAGAUUGCGAGAGGGCGCAGGCCAGGCCAAGGGACCCCACCAGUGCAAG